UUACCGAAUCCACGAUCGUCACAAUAGUUGUUGUAAUCGGAAUUUUCCUCCUAACAACAACUAUGAUGGCGGGUUACCUUUUACGAUGUUUGACAACCAGAAACAAAAAGAAAGAUAAAGACUAUCAUCAACCAUCUAAGACGAUGGAACUCAAUAUUCCAUUGCAUGAUCUUGAAAGAGCUACAGACAACCAAAGCCAGACAAAUAA
Saccostrea echinata is the source of this 208-nucleotide long non-coding RNA. RefSeq lists it as uncharacterized. The record is from RefSeq and is a predicted model, not a curated record. Lineage: Eukaryota; Metazoa; Mollusca; Bivalvia; Ostreida; Ostreidae. The transcript has 3 exons.